AUUGAACGCUGGCGGCAGGCUUAACACAUGCAAGUCGAGCGGGGUGAUGGUGCUUGCACUAUCACUUAGCGGCGGACGGGUGAGUAAUGCUUAGGAAUCUGCCUAUUAGUGGGGGACAACAUCUCGAAAGGGAUGCUAAUACCGCAUACGUCCUACGGGAGAAAGCAGGGGAUCACUUGUGACCUUGCGCUAAUAGAUGAGCCUAAAUCGGAUUAGCUAGUUGGUGGGGUAAAGGCCUACCAAGGCGACGAUCUGUAGCGGGUCUGAGAGGAUGAUCCGCCACACUGGGACUGAGACACGGCCCAGACUCCUACGGGAGGCAGCAGUGGGGAAUAUUGGACAGUGGGGGGAACCCUGAUCCAGCCAUGCCGCGUGUGUGAAGAAGGCCUUAUGGUUGUAAAGCACUUUAAGCGAGGAGGAGGCUCUUUUGGUUAAUACCCAAGAUGAGUGGACGUUACUCGCAGAAUAAGCACCGGCUAACUCUGUGCCAGCCGCCGCAGUAA
This 503-nucleotide ribosomal RNA is filed under the name uncultured bacterium. RNAcentral's name for it is "partial 16S ribosomal RNA". It matches the Rfam family "Bacterial small subunit ribosomal RNA", at positions 30 to 523 of the family's 1533-position model. The record is from RNAcentral.